UUAGGAAUUUUGCGCAAUGGGCGAAAGCCUGACGCAGCAACGCCGCGUGAGGGAAGACGGCUUUCGGGUUGUAAACCUCUUUUAGCAAGGACGAACACAAUGACGGUACUUGCAGAAAAAGCACCGGCUAACUACGUGCCAGCAGCCGCGGUAAUACGUAGGGUGCAAGCGUUAUUCGGAUUUAUUGGGCGUAAAGCGCAUGCAGGCGGUUCGGUAAGUCUGAUGUGAAAGCCCUCGACUUAAUCGAGGAAGUGCAUUGGAUACUGCCAAACUAGAGUGCAGGAGGGGUGAGCGGAAUUCCUGGUGUAGAGGUGAAAUUCGUAGAUAUCAGGAGGAACAACAGCGGCGAAGGCGGCUCACUGGACUGCAACUGACGCUCAGAUGCGAUAGCGUGGGGAGCAAACA
Molecule: ribosomal RNA, 405 nt
Filed under: uncultured prokaryote
Description: bacterial SSU rRNA
Rfam family: Bacterial small subunit ribosomal RNA
Source: RNAcentral